This 253-nucleotide ribosomal RNA is filed under the name uncultured bacterium. Its description in RNAcentral is "partial 16S ribosomal RNA". It matches the Rfam family "Bacterial small subunit ribosomal RNA", at positions 524 to 776 of the family's 1533-position model. The record is from RNAcentral.
UACAGAGGUCUCAAGCGUUGUUCGGAUUCAUUGGGCGUAAAGGGCGCGUAGGCGGCGAGGUAAGUCGGGUGUGAAAUCUCAGAGCUCAACUCUGAAACUGCACUCGAUACUGCUUUGCUAGAGGACUGGAGAGGAGAUUGGAAUUCACGGUGUAGCAGUGAAAUGCGUAGAGAUCGUGAGGAACACCGGUGGCGAAGGCGGCCCCCUGGACCGGUACUGACGCUGAGGCGCGAAAGCGUGGGGAGCAAACGGG